CCGGGAGUCGGGCGGACGUAUGUGUCCGUUAACCUGGUCAGGUCCGGAAGGAAGCAGCCACACCGGACGGCAGCGGGUCGCUCGGCUCCUUUUCC
Molecule: signal recognition particle RNA, 95 nt
Filed under: Altericroceibacterium endophyticum
Lineage: Bacteria; Pseudomonadati; Pseudomonadota; Alphaproteobacteria; Sphingomonadales; Erythrobacteraceae
Description: Bacterial small signal recognition particle RNA
Rfam family: Bacterial small signal recognition particle RNA
About the family: The signal recognition particle (SRP) is a universally conserved ribonucleoprotein involved in the co-translational targeting of proteins to membranes.
Source: Rfam by way of RNAcentral